RNAcentral lists this ribosomal RNA (2787 nucleotides) under Triticum aestivum (bread wheat). RNAcentral's name for it is "partial small subunit ribosomal RNA". The record is from RNAcentral. Lineage: Eukaryota; Viridiplantae; Streptophyta; Magnoliopsida; Poales; Poaceae.
AUGGAGAUUGCCAUGGGGGCCAUCGGCCCUCUCCUCCCAAAGCUUACAAGCCUGCUCGUCGGCGAGUUCACGCUGGAGAAACGAGUCAGGAAAGGCAUCGAGUCUCUCGUGACAGAGCUCACAUUGAUGCAUGCCGCCCUCCGCACGGUGGCGAAAGUGCCGCCAGAGGAGCUCGGUGAGGGGGUCAAGAUUUGGAGAGGAAAGGUGAAGGAGUUAUCCUACCAAAUGGAAGACAUCAUUGACACCUUCAUGGUUCAUGUGGAGGGCGGUGGUGAGGCUGCCAACCCGAAGAACAGAGUCAAAAAUUUGCUCAAGAAGACCAUCAAAUUAUUCAAGAAGGGCAAGAGUCUGCAUGGGAUAUCUGAUGCUCUAGAAGAAGCGGUUGGUCAGGCUAAACAAUUGGCUGAGCUGCAUCAAAGGUAUGAGCUUGUGCAUCACACCCCUGUUAGUGCUAGCAUUGAUCCUCGUGUCAUGGCUUUAUACAAAGAUGUGACAGAGCUCAUUGGCAUUGAAGAUACACGUGAUGAGUUGAUCAACAUGUUGAUUGGGGGUGAUGAUUGGUUGAACCAUCCACUGAAGGUGAUCUCUAUUGUUGGAUUUGGUGGGUUAGGCAAGACAACUCUGGCCAAAGCAGCGUAUGAUAAGAUCAAAGUGCAAUUUGAUUGUAGUGCUUUUGUUUCAGUUUCUCAGAAUCCUGACAUGAGGAAAAUUUUGAAGGAUAUUCUCUUUGAACUUGACAAGAACAAAUAUGCAAACAUUUAUAAUGCAGUAAGGGAAGAAAAGCAUCUCAUUGACGAGCUCAUUGAAUUCCUUAAUAACAAGAGGUACCUCAUCGUAAUUGAUGACAUAUGGGAUAAAAGGGUGUGGGAAAUAAUCAAGUGUGCAUUUUUCAAGAAAAGUUUUGGAAGCCGACUAAUCACAACAACUCGUAUUGUCAGUGUGUCAGAAGCAUGUUGUUCUUCUAGUGAUGAUAUUUACAGAAUGAAAGCUCUUUCUAUUGAUUUAUCGAGAAAACUCUUCUAUAAAAGAGUAUUUUCUCAUGAACAAGGAUGUCCUCAUGAGUUCGUGCAAGUAUCCGAAGAUAUCUUAAAGAAAUGUGGCGGGAUACCAUUAGCCAUUAAUGUCAUAGCAAGUCUUCUAGCUAGCAAUUGUCAAAUAAAAACAAAGGAUCAAUGGUAUGGUUUUCUCAAUUCAAUUCGUCAUGGACUUACAGAAGAACGCAGUAUGGAGGAGAUGAAGAAGAUAUUAUUACUUAGCUAUUAUGAUCUACCAUUUUAUCUGAAGCCUUGUUUGUUAUAUCUAAGUAUCUUUCCAGAAGAUCACAAGAUUAUGAGAGAUGAACUUAUAUGGCGGUGGAUAGCAGAAGGCUUCAUUUGGAGUGAAAAACAAGAUAGUUUAUAUGAGGUCGGUGAUUGUUAUUUUAAUGAGCUUAUAAAUAGAAACAUGGUCCAACCAAUGGACAUUGAUGCAGAAGAAAGGGUAGUAGCUUGUCGUGUGCAUGACAUGGUUCUUGAUAUCAUAUGUUCCUUGUCAAGUGAAGAAAUUUUUGUCACUAUAUUGGAUGGUACUAACAGAACAGUACCUAAGCUGCAAAGCAAGGUUCGUAGAUUAUCCAUCCACAAGACUAAGAAGGGCAACAUAGAUGUGGUUACAACCAGCAUGAAACAAGUAAGGUCUGUAACUCUUUUUGGAAAUGACACGGUUCACCAAAUGUCGUUUGUUUCAAGUUCUGAAGUUCUGCGUGUAUUGGCUUUAGAAGACUCUACUAUCUCAGAUAUUGGGUACGUGGAGAAUUUGUUACACUUGAGGUACUUAGGGCUAAAGCAUACACAUGCUAAAGAGCUCCCGGUGGAUAUAGGAAAGCUGCAUUUUCUGCAAACAUUGGACUUGAGAGAAACCGAACAUAUAAGGGAAUUGCCAUCAAGCAUUCUUCUGUUAAGAAAUUUGAAGUGUCUAUAUAUCAAUGCGGGUAUAAAGCUGCCAAGUGGGAUAUGUAGCUUAAUAUCCCUAGAAGUGCUAGAUGAGCCGCAGGUGGGUUGUCUAUAUUCUGAGAAAUAUAAUAUGGACAUUGUGAAAGAGGUGUGCCACUUGACCAAGUUGAGGGUGCUUACAAUUUGUUGGAAUUGCUUGGAUGAAAACGUGAAGGAAGCUAUGACGAAAUCCCUAAGUAAUUUCCAUAAAUUGCAAAGUCUUUGUAUUGCGGCCUAUCAAGAUUGUGCCAAUUCCAUGAAGCAAGGAUGGGUGCUCUCUCCACAGCUCCGCAAAUUAUGCUUGAGGGGGCCGGGGUGCUCGUUUGAAACACUGCCGGCGUGGAUUAAUCCGUCAUUGCUUCCACUGCUCUCCUACCUGCGCAUAGUGGUUGAAAAAAUGCGACCGGAGGACAUUCGGCUUCUUGGGAUGUUGCCCGCUCUCCGUUAUCUCAGCUUUAAGAUGGAAUAUUGCUCCUGGACCAUACCAGGAGAGGAUGAAGUGGAGAUGUUGGCCGUUACUGCCGAUGCCUUCCCAUGUGUGACGACGUUACACUGUUUUGGUAUUCCUGUGAGGCCAUCAACAUUCCCACGAGGAGCUGCACCAAGGCUUAAAGACCUUUAUUUCUGCUUACCGGCUAGGUUGAUCACCCAUGGCGACAUUGAUUUAGGCAUGGGGCACCUCCCAUCCCUCGAGACCGUAGAAGUUUACAUUUGGUGCAAGGAAGCCAAUGAUUCAUUAAUGGAUGAAGCAGAGGCUGCGAUGAGGUCUGCAUCGAGUGACCAUCCCAAUCAUCCCCAUCUUUAUUUCAGCAAAUAG